AACACGGAUUAGAUACCCUGGUAGUCCACGCUGUAAACGAUGUCGACUUGGAGGUUGUGCCCUUGAGGCGUGGCUUCCGGAGCUAACGCGUUAAGUCGACCGCCUGGGGAGUACGGCCGCAAGGUUAAAACUCAAAUGAAUUGACGGGGGCCCGCACAAGCGGUGGAGCAUGUGGUUUAAUUCGAUGCAACGCGAAGAACCUUACCUACUCUUGACAUCCAGAGAAUUUGCUAGAGAUAGCUUAGUGCCUCCGGGAACUCUGAGACAGGUGCUGCAUGGCUGUCGUCAGCUCGUGUUGUGAAAUGUUGGGUUAAGUCCCGCAACGAGCGCAACCCUUAUCCUUUGUUGCCAGCACGUAAUGGUGGGAACUCAAAGGAGACUGCCGGUGAUAAACCGGAGGAAGGUGGGGAUGACGUCAAGUCAUCAUGGCCCUUACGAGUAGGGCUACACACGUGCUACAAUGGCAUAUACAAAGAGAAGCGAACCCGCGAGAGCAAGCGGACCUCAUAAGGUAUGUCGUAGUCCGGAUUGGAGUCUGCGACUCGACUCCAUGAAGUCGGAAUCGCUAGUAAUCGUAGAUCAGAAUGCUACGGUGAAUACGUUCCCGGGCCUUGUACACACCGCCCGUCACACCAUGGGAGUGGGUUGCAAAAGAAGUAGGUAGCUUAACCUUCGGGAGGGCGCUUACCACUUUGUGAUUCAUGACUGGGGUGAAGUCGUAACAAGGUAACC
RNAcentral lists this ribosomal RNA (732 nucleotides) under uncultured bacterium. Its description in RNAcentral is "bacterial SSU rRNA". It matches the Rfam family "Bacterial small subunit ribosomal RNA", at positions 771 to 1501 of the family's 1533-position model. The record is from RNAcentral.